This 544-nucleotide long non-coding RNA is filed under the name Marmota monax (woodchuck). Lineage: Eukaryota; Metazoa; Chordata; Mammalia; Rodentia; Sciuridae. The record is from RNAcentral.
GUUGUCAUACUAUAGUGAUACAUAGAUACCCAUGUUUAUAGUCGUGCAGUUCACAAGAACCAACUAUAGAACCAGCCUAGGUGUUUAUCAAAGGGUGAAUGGAUAAAGAAAAUGUGGUAUAUACGUAAUGGAGUUUUAUUCAGCUAUAAAGGAAAAUGAAAUUAUGGCAGUUACAGGAAAAUGUAUGGAACUAGAAACUUUAUGUUAAGCAAAAUAAAUCAAACAGAAGGUUAAGGAUCCUUUGUUUUCUCAUGAGGAAGCUAGAGAGGAAAAAAGGAAAAGAAAGGUGCAGUGGAUCUUAUUGAAAUCAAAGAAAGAUCAGUAGAGGAAAGGGAGGGACCAAGGGGUGGGAGAUGGGUAGAAUGGGAGAAGUGCUAAAGAGUGAUAUUAGCCAAAUUAUAUUGUUACGUGGUCUUCAUGUAUGAAUGUGUAACAGUAAAUCCCAUUAUUAUGAACAAUUGUAAUGCACCAAUAAAUUGAAAAAGAAAAAAAUAAAAACAGAAAUUGAAAAAGGAAAAAAAGAAAUACUUACUGUGUGGUAGUG